UACGAAGGGUGCAAGCGUUACUCGGAAUUACUGGGCGUAAAGCGUGCGUAGGUGGUUUCUUAAGUCUGCUGUGAAAGCCCCGGGCUCAACCUGGGAAUUGCAGUGGAUACUGGGAAGCUAGAGUGAGGUAGAGGGUAGUGGAAUUCCCGGUGUAGCGGUGAAAUGCGUAGAGAUCGGGAGGAACACCUGCGGUGCAGACGGCUUUCUGGACCAUGGCUGACGCUGAGACACGAAAGCGUGGGUAGCAAACAGG
Molecule: ribosomal RNA, 253 nt
Filed under: uncultured bacterium
Lineage: Bacteria
Description: partial 16S ribosomal RNA
Rfam family: Bacterial small subunit ribosomal RNA
Source: RNAcentral